Molecule: ribosomal RNA, 492 nt
Filed under: uncultured bacterium
Lineage: Bacteria
Description: partial 16S ribosomal RNA
Rfam family: Bacterial small subunit ribosomal RNA
Source: RNAcentral
AGUGAACGCUGGCGGUAGGCCUAACACAUGCAAGUCGAACGGCAGCACAGUAAGAGCUUGCUCUUACGGGUGGCGAGUGGCGGACGGGUGAGGAAUACAUCGGAAUCUACUUUUUCGUGGGGGAUAACGUAGGGAAACUUACGCUAAUACCGCAUACGACCUACGGGUGAAAGCAGGGGAUCUUCGGACCUUGCGCGAUUGAAUGAGCCGAUGUCGGAUUAGCUAGUUGGCGGGGUAAAGGCCCACCAAGGCGACGAUCCGUAGCUGGUCUGAGAGGAUGAUCAGCCACACUGGCACUGAGGCACGGUCCAGACUCCUACGGUAGGCAGCAGUGGGGAAUAUUGGACAAUGGGCGCAAGCGUGAUCCAGCAAUACCGCGUGGGUGAAGAAGGCCUUCGGGUUGUAAAGCCCUUUUGUUGGGAAAGAAAAGCAGCAGGUUAAUACCCCGCUGUUCUGACGGUACCCAAAGAAUAAGCACCGGCUAACUUCGUG